GGGCGGGGGGCGACCUCUCCCCCACCCCCGCUCUCGGAGAGAUUCGGUCAAUUGGAGGGAGCGGGCCGGGCCGGGCCGGGCCGGGGAGAAGGAGCACAGUUCUGGAGGCCGGUGGGGACCCUCGCCGCCGCCGCGCCCCUCCCGCUCCCCAGCGCCCUCGCGGCCCAGUGGCUCCUGCGAGUCGGAGGCGGCCGCGGAGACUGAGCGACCGCGGGGACCGCCACGGGCUGGGCGCGGGUUCUCGGGCUCAACACUGCCACUGUCUGACACAACAGGAGCAGUGUUGGGGGAGCUGCGCGAUGAGACGCAAGACGUGAUAGGCUCUCCAAACUGGGACAACUGGACACUGCUGAGGGGAAGGACAGAGGAACGCAUAUGGACAUCCACGUACAGCUCCCUAACAGGGUGCCGGCAAUGAGCCGGGCAGAGUGCCUCAGUGCUAACAAAAUGUGACUUUUUAAUCUCUCUGAGUGUCCGUAUUCGAGCUGCAGAAGGGGGCCUUCUCAGGGCACCUGAGGAAUGGAAGAGACCAGCUACCUUACAGGACAUCCUAGGACAGAUACAGGACCCUUUGAGGACAUUUGGACAGAGUGGAGGGGCUUCCCCUUACUGCACAGGCGGGUUGGCUGCUGCUCAGCAUUCUGUCACAGAACCUCUUUGCUCUUGCAUCUUUCACAGGACUGUCGCACUGAAGGAGACCAAAGAGAAUGGAUUUGUGAAACCUAAACUCAAGCCCGUGGAGGACUCUGAUGGCCCGUGGGCCACUUCCUACAUCUCCAGUGGAGAAAGCACAGCGCCGAAAUCACAAGAUCUCAUCCACAAGCGUAUGGCUGACUGCUGUUCAUCUGAUCCAAAACAAAAGUCACUGUUUGAUUGCCUGAGAGCUAAGCCUUGA
Molecule: long non-coding RNA, 895 nt
Filed under: Chinchilla lanigera (long-tailed chinchilla)
Lineage: Eukaryota; Metazoa; Chordata; Mammalia; Rodentia; Chinchillidae
Description: lncRNA (ENSCLAG00000022291.1)
Source: RNAcentral